GACGAACACUGGCGGCGUGCUUAACACAUGCAAGUCGAACGGAAAGGCCCUGCUUUUGUGGGGUGCUCGAGUGGCGAACGGGUGAGUAACACGUGAGUAACCUGCCCUUGACUUUGGGAUAACUUCGGGAAACUGGGGCUAAUACCGGAUAGGAGCUCCUGCUGCAUGGUGGGGGUUGGAAAGUUUCGGCGGUUGGGGAUGGACUCGCGGCUUAUCAGCUUGUUGGUGGGGUAGUGGCUUACCAAGGCUUUGACGGGUAGCCGGCCUGAGAGGGUGACCGGCCACAUUGGGACUGAGAUACGGCCCAGACUCCUACGGGAGGCAGCAGUGGGGAAUAUUGCACAAUGGGCGGAAGCCUGAUGCAGCAACGCCGCGUGCGGGAUGACGGUCUUCGGGUUGUAAACCGCUUUCGCCUGUGACGAAGCGUGAGUGACGGUAAUGGGUAAAGAAGCACCGGCUAACUACGUG
RNAcentral lists this ribosomal RNA (468 nucleotides) under uncultured bacterium. RNAcentral's name for it is "partial 16S ribosomal RNA". It matches the Rfam family "Bacterial small subunit ribosomal RNA", at positions 28 to 507 of the family's 1533-position model. The record is from RNAcentral.